RNAcentral lists this ribosomal RNA (504 nucleotides) under uncultured bacterium. RNAcentral describes it as "bacterial SSU rRNA". It matches the Rfam family "Bacterial small subunit ribosomal RNA", at positions 29 to 507 of the family's 1533-position model. The record is from RNAcentral.
AACGAACGCUGGCGGCGUGCCUAACACAUGCAAGUCGUGCGAGAAAGGGAGCUUCGGCUCCUGAGUAGAGCGGCGAACGGGUGAGUAACACGUGGGUAACCUACCCCCGAGAUCGGGAUAACCUUCCGAAAGGAGGGCUAAUACCGGAUGAGACCACGGUCUUUAGGGGCGGUGGUCAAAGGGUGGCCUCUGCAUGCACGCUACCGCUCGAGGAUGGACCCGCGCACCAUUAGCUUGUUGGCGGGGUAACGGCCCACCAAGGCGAAGAUGGUUAGCUGGUCUGAGAGGAUGGCCAGCCACACUGGGACUGAGACACGGCCCAGACUCCUACGGGAGGCAGCAGUGGGGAAUAUUGCGCAAUGGUCGAAAGACUGACGCAGCGACGCCGCGUGUGGGAGGAAGCCCUUCGGGGUGUAAACCACUGUCAGGGGGGAAGAACCCCGGUCAUGGGAAUAUCAUGGCCGGCUGACGGUACCCCCAGAGGAAGCGCCGGCUAACUCCGUG